GUCUCCCUCUGCCCACCCACCUGCACCUGACAGCUGUGGGCUGUGCUCUCAGGGAGGCACCGUCAGAUGCUACCAGACUACAGAGGAGAGCACCCUCAAUCCUGACUGAAGGUUUGGGAAAAGGCUGCUCAGAAGAGGUGAUACUUGAUAUGGGCCCUGGAGGAGGAGAAGCAGUUUGAGAAGACAGCAGUGAGAGAUGGCAUCCGGGCAGGCGAGAAAUGCAAAGGGAAGAGAGGUCAUCCAGGACAAAAGUACAGAAUGAAAAGAAAAAGCAACUAAGCACGAAAUCUUGGAGAAUGUCCUCAUUGAAGGGUCCUGAGCACCAAGGGUACAGUCAGAAAUGAUGAAUCCAGAAAUGAUGCCCUCCAGAACUUCUGGUGAGGAAGGCACUCAGGAAAAUGCAGCACCCUAUGGAGGCCCAGAAAGGAGGGCAUUCAGGAAGAACACAGUCUGAUGGUGUCAAGUGCAGCGGAGGCUAAGAGCCUCAGUGCCUCCUUCAGAGAUGCGGUGGAUAUUAGCUUCUGUUGUAUCCUUCAUACAGAACCUGGUGCUGAGAGACAGCUUCUUCUUUUUUUUUUUUUCUUUAAACUUUUCUUAAGACUAGUCAAGUACAGUAUCAAGAAGACGGGAAAGAGUAGAACAAGGAAUUGGAUCCGUAACUGACUGUGAACAAUCAAUUGAGGUAACUCAUUACCUUUGAACCAACCUGGGAGGCAGCCUUGUGACUCACCUCAAUCCUCAAUCUUCUCAGCUAGUUCACUUUGGCCUGGCUCAGGGGCUGACCUAGAAUGAUCCUGUCCAGAAGGACCCUGGAUGUUCUUAGAGACACAGACUGCUAGGGCUGGCAGGGACUUUUCAUCCAAUUCCUCUGUGACAGAGGAGGAAGUGGAGGUGCAGAAGGAGAGGUGAGCUGCCUGUGGUCCUUCAGCUUACUAAUGGCAGUGUUAGGACUGGACCUGAGGGCUCUUCCCUCCAGUCCGGCGCUAUUUAUUCCAUGACAGUGCCUCUCAAACUGUGUUCUCACAAGCAGCUAGUGCUCAGGCAGCUGGACUGAGGCCCUGCCUGCCAAAUCAAAUAUUGGAGGUCUUUCUCCAAUGUGCAGAAAAAAAAAGUAAUUAAUGGGUUAAGUUUCCUUAGGGUUAAAUUAUUUUUCCAUUAAUGCUUCUUAAACCAUUGUCACCUGCUACCAAUUGUCUACUAGCCAAUGCAUGCAGGCAACAAAACAAAAGGAUAAGCCACAAGUAAAUAAGAACAAGAACAACCAAAGCCUUGGAAACACACCAUCAUUCUUAAGUUAAAGGCUUAAAAAAAAAAUAGAGGAAGACUGCUAUGACUGUGGACUUUCUAUUGCAUUCACAUAAUAAAAUCAUGCGACAUUGUUUUGAAUUCAAAAAAAAAAAAAAAA
RNAcentral lists this long non-coding RNA (1405 nucleotides) under Homo sapiens (human). Its description in RNAcentral is "uncharacterized LOC100271832, transcript variant 1 (LOC100271832)". Lineage: Eukaryota; Metazoa; Chordata; Mammalia; Primates; Hominidae. The record is from RNAcentral.